Podarcis lilfordi (Lilford's wall lizard) is the source of this 75-nucleotide non-coding RNA. The record is from the annotation of a GenBank genome assembly. Lineage: Eukaryota; Metazoa; Chordata; Lepidosauria; Squamata; Lacertidae.
UCCUGCAGAUAGCUCAGUCUGGAGAGCAUGAGACUCUUAAUCUCAGGGUUGUGGGUUGAAGCCACACAUUGGGCA